Molecule: ribosomal RNA, 253 nt
Filed under: uncultured bacterium
Lineage: Bacteria
Description: partial 16S ribosomal RNA
Rfam family: Bacterial small subunit ribosomal RNA
Source: RNAcentral
UACGGAGGGUGCAAGCGUUAUCCGGAUUCACUGGGUUUAAAGGGUGCGUAGGAGGGCAGGUAAGUCAGUGGUGAAAUCUCCGAGCUUAACUCAGAAACUGCCGUUGAUACUAUCUGUCUUGAAUCCCGUGGAGAUGAGCGGAAUAUGUCAUGUAGCGGUGAAAUGCUUAGAUAUGACAUAGAACACCAAUUGCGAAGGCAGCUCGUUACACGAAGAUUGACUCUGAGGCACGAAAGCGUGGGGAUCAAACAGG